UGAUGUUAGAGGCGGACGGGUGAGUAACACGUGGGUAACCUGCCUGUAAGACUGGGAUAACUCCGGGAAACCGGGGCUAAUACCGGAUGCUUGUUUGAACCGCAUGGUUCAGACAUAAAAGGGGGCUUCGGCUACCACUUACAGAUGGAUCCGCGGCGCAUUAGCUAGUUGGUGAGGUAACGGGUCACCAAGGCGACGAUGCGUAGCCGACCUGAGAGGGUGAUCGGUCACACUGGGACUGAGACACGGCCAAGACUCCUACGGGAGGCAGCAGUAGGGAAUCUUCCGCAAUGGACGAAAGUCUGACGGAGCAACGCCGCGUGAGUGAUGAAGGUUUUCGGAUCGUAAAGCUCUGUUGUUAGGGAAGAACAAGUGCCGUUCAAAUAGGGCGGCACCUUGACGGUACCUAACCAGAAAGCCACGGCUAACUACGUGCCAGCAGCCGCGGUAAUACGUAGGUGGCAAGCGUUGUCCGGAAUUAUUGGGCGUAAAGGGCUCGCAGGCGGUUUCUUAAGUCUGAUGUGAAAGCCCCCGGCUCAACCGGGGAGGGUCAUUGGAAACUGGGGAACUUGAGUGCAGAAGAGGAGAGUGGAAUUCCACGUGUAGCGGUGAAAUGCGUAGAGAUGUGGAGGAACACCAGUGGCGAAGGCGACUCUCUGGUCUGUAACUGACGCUGAGGAGCGAAAGCGUGGGGAGCGAACAGGAUUAGAUACCCUGGUAGUCCACGCCGUAAACGAUGAGUGCUAAGUGUUAGGGGGUUUCCGCCCCUUAGUGCUGCAGCUAACGCAUUAAGCACUCCGCCUGGGGAGUACGGUCGCAAGACUGAAACUC
This 831-nucleotide ribosomal RNA is filed under the name Bacillus amyloliquefaciens. Its description in RNAcentral is "bacterial SSU rRNA". It matches the Rfam family "Bacterial small subunit ribosomal RNA", at positions 87 to 902 of the family's 1533-position model. The record is from RNAcentral. Lineage: Bacteria; Bacillati; Bacillota; Bacilli; Caryophanales; Bacillaceae.